Mustela lutreola (European mink) is the source of this 837-nucleotide long non-coding RNA. RefSeq lists it as uncharacterized. The record is from RefSeq and is a predicted model, not a curated record. Lineage: Eukaryota; Metazoa; Chordata; Mammalia; Carnivora; Mustelidae. The transcript is spliced from 3 exons.
UGAAGUAUUCCCUUUGAGACAAUCCAGCAGAAAGUCUCCAGCCUUCCAACGUGACCCUGAUGUUCCGUGUCCAGCUGGUUUCCCUGGGAGGGGACAAAUGAAAAACAAAACCUGGAGCCGAUAUAAAUAUUUGCUGGCAAGUACCAUCCUGCCGUUGACGCGCCCUGGGAAUUCUGGAGGCCUGUUUUGUUGUCGGACAUCCUCCAAGCACCUGCUGUGUGGGCCCCGGACGGGGCCAGGCCCUGAGGUCACUGUCCAGCGUCCACGGACCCAGCACCACCAAGGCCAUCACGGGAGUCCACGGAGGAAGCCUGGGGCACACGAGGGAAAACAAGGCCAGUAAACCCCGUGGCCGGUGCUACCCGCUGUCCCCCCAACUUGACCCCACGUGUCAUUAGAACGAGAGCCUCCAAAAGGCCUCCAGGGUGGGUGACAGACGUAACACCCUGCAUGUGAUGCUUUCCUAGAGCUCUCUCCUUUCCUCAUCCUGCUUUCCUUAGACACCCUCUGCAGAGCCCCGUGGGUGACCUCCGGCUGAGUCGCUGCUUCUACGUCUGGCCAGAGAGCCACGAACACACAUAUGACGCAUCCUGAUUCACAGCGGGCUCUGGCUCUGCUCUGGAAACUUCCUGCAGGAAACCACCACACUGAUUGUCCUCAGGAUGGUAGCACGUCAGUGAUUCAUGGCUCUUGGUUUAACGACGUCCGGGAGAGGGGGGGAAGGCCAGGCCGUCCAGCCCCCGCCGCCUUUCCGGGCUCUCACCGCUACUGACAUGGAUGCUCCCCCAUCCCUGGGUUCCUCAGUCAGCUAACAGCCAGGCCUCCGAUGGGACCCAG